UUGCUGGGACUAAAACUCUGGAGAAGUCUCAAAGACGCUCCGGAAGAAGUUGAAAAAAUCGAGGACACUGCUGUCAAAUUACUGGGGAUUCGUCCCCCGGAUUUGCCGCCACCUCUAGCUGAUUUAUUGCCUCGGAAUAUUUCGAACACGACUCGCGAGUGGAUGCAACAGUCGUUUGAUGCCCGUCAGCUCUGGAAUGAUUUAAUCGACCGCGAAAAUAUCAAAUCAGUGACUCCAGUUGUUGAUGCCGGGUCCUAGCAGUUGCUUAACUUCGCCGUGGGGUCAAGAACACGACGAAGUUUUACGUAUUCAAAAGAAAGUUUUAAAAAUAACAGACGUAAAGGACUUGGCAAGGUGAUACAUAUCGAUCUGACGGACGAUGAACCCAAAGAAACACGCGGGGAUAAAAAAGUAAACAAAAAGUCGAGAGAUAGUAAAGUGAGGAGUCUUGGGUGGCUGAAAAAAAUUGUUGAGCAGGAUAAAGUUAAAAGAAAAAACGAACGAAUAAAAAGUCAUGCUGAUGUGCAGAUUGUUGAUGCCCACAGUACUGGUAAUUCUUCUGAUAUUAUAAAUGACAAGCUGCCAAAUUAUAAACCUGUAUUUGUUAAUGAAGUUAGUGAGAGUAAACCUACGAAUUUAAUGUGUCAAGAUAUAAAUAACAGUACCUCAACUCAAGCUACCGCUAAUAGUAGUAAUAAUAAUAUUAAUAAUAAUAAUAAUAAUAAUAAUAAAAACAAUAGCAAACCAGAUGAUUUAUUAUUUUAUAACGAUAAAUUACUUUGUGAUGUGACUGGUAAUCAGUCUUGUUCUGGUGGGAAUAAAAGUUCAAAGGAUGUACAGGAAUUAAUUUUAAAUAAUAGAUCUAGGAAAGUUAUGGCUGAUGAUGAUAAUGAUAAUGAUUAUGAUAAACGUAUUAAUUUAAAUGAUAUUAAUAGUAUUAAUAAUUUAGAAAUGUGUCCUGUUACGACGACUGUCAGCUCGGAAGACUUGUCAGGUGAUGGUAUUUUUUGGGACGAUGUUAAUUUAUUUAAAUAUUCUGAUUAUAAAUUAGAAUUUGACAUUGAUGAUAAUUAUUCAAAUUUAAAACCGACAAAUUCAGCAGAUAAUGAUUUAAUGAGAGGAGUUAAUGAUAGUGAUGAAGUUAUUUUGAAGGAGACAGUUGAUAGUAUUGAUGAGUAUGAAAAUAAUGAAAUGCUUGAUAACAUUUUGCAAGAUAUGCCGAUUGAUUCGAUGCCGAUAUCGAGACCUGGUAACUGGAGUUACUUGUUCGAUUGUCAUCUUGCUAAUAUCGAGUCUCCGGACGCGAUACUGUCCAGCACGGAGCUGAUUGACCCGAAACUUACGAAUAAAAGUAAGGGUAUAAAGAGUUUUUCUAAACAUAAUUACAUGGUUUCGUUGGGACUCAGUAAGAAAGAGUUGAAUGAUGAAAGAAUUGACGGCGAAGAUAGAUUUGAUUGUGGGUUAAAUGAAGGAAGAGAUAAUUUUAAAAAUGAUGGGGAAAAUUUACUUACAGUUGAUAUUGAUAAGAGAGAUUUUAAUGAUUUUGCAAAACAGUCUUCCUCGGGUGUCUCUUCUACUACUUCUAUUAUUUCUGAACAAUCCGAAAUGGUCAGGGGUAAUGAUGACGAUUUUAUUGAUGCAAAAAGAUCUAAUCGUCAAAGGAAGAUUAGGAAAAGUUGUUUGAAGAGUAAUAAUGAGCCUGCUUUGAAGAAAAAGAAGAAAAAUAAUAUUUAUCAACACGGAAGAUUACAUUUGAAAAAAGGUAUAAGACUGAUAAAUAUUAAUAUCAUUAUUUUUAUAUAAAUUUAUAAACUUUUUUUUUUAAUUUUGUCAGUAACAAAAUUUUUAUUUUUUAAUUACGAGAAAAAAAAUUUAUUAAUUAGAAAUAUUAUUUUUUUAAACGAAAUUUAUUUUUAAAUUUAAAAAAUAAUUUAAAUACAACACUGAAGAUCAUCAAUGAAGAUACUAAUAAAUAAGACUGAUUCUGUGAUAAAUAAAUAUAUUAAUUAUCAAUUAAUUACUUAAAUUUACAUAAACUGUUAUUACAGAUCGUGAUUCAAUAAAAAAAAAUUGACAAGUUAUUGGCUUGAGGAUGCAGAUUUCAACGCUUAGAUCAAGAUUACUUCAUAAAAUAAUCCAUACAGUAUUUUAUAAUUACUUGAAAAAAAAAAGUUCAAUGCAAUUGCAGUUUUUUAAUACAAUUUAAUUAAGCCAACGUGUUCAGAUUUAUAUUUUAAAUUACUAUUUUAUAUAUAAAUAAUUAUUACUAUUAUGCUAAAAUUUUAAGCGUUUAAGGUAUAUUUAAUCAGUGCCAUUUUUAUUUUACUUAAUUGUAAUUAAUAAGCAUUUUAAACACUUGAAAAGUGCCCAUUCUU
Microplitis mediator is the source of this 2375-nucleotide RNA transcript. RefSeq lists it as uncharacterized. The transcript is spliced from 2 exons. The record is from RefSeq and is a predicted model, not a curated record. NCBI's taxonomy places the organism in Eukaryota, Metazoa, Arthropoda, Insecta, Hymenoptera, Braconidae.